CCAAAAUUAAACUUUGUUUGAUUUCAACAAAAAUUGAAUAUAUGGGGUUCUUUGAUAUGCUGAAUCUAACCAUGCUUUUAGAUUUAUGAUAUUUGGGCCCGGUUAUCAAAUUGGUCUACAGUGAGGUCUAAAGGGUCCAAAAUUGAACUUUAUUUGAUUUCAUCAAAAAUUGAAUUCUUGGGGUUCUUUGAUAUGCUGAAUCUAACCAUGUAUUUAGAUUUUGGAUAUUAAAAUACCACAAAGGGAUGGUAAGAAUUGUCUUUGGGAGUUAUGGCUCAUACCGUUAAGGAAUAAGGUGCAAAAAAGGGGGGAAA
RNAcentral lists this long non-coding RNA (314 nucleotides) under Mytilus galloprovincialis (Mediterranean mussel). The record is from RNAcentral. Lineage: Eukaryota; Metazoa; Mollusca; Bivalvia; Mytilida; Mytilidae.